CCAAUAUGCGUAUGCAUUAAAUGUAAAAUAUUCUACAAUAAAACGUGUUUUAUAAAAAUACAAAAAUUUAAUAUGAAAUUGCGUGAUUAAUUUAAUUAAAAAUUAACAUCAGUUGUACUUGAUUUGCUAAAAAUGUUGUUAGCACGCACAAAACAAGAUAUAAUUUAUUAAAUUUUCUCCACUAUUUAUUUCUCAUUUGAUUCAUAUUUUUGUUAAUAAAUACUGUUUAUAUUAAGUAAAAAUAAAAACAAACAUUAAUUAGAGGUAUGAUUUUAGGUGACGUAUUUUAGAAGACCAGUACAUUUCAGUACCCAUUUUUAAUUUUUUGAAAAAUAUUUUAAUGAAAUUAAACUCAAAUAAUGGCCAGGAUUUAUUAAUUAAUGAAAAAGAUGAUAUUUGUAUAAAAUAUCUGCAUUUACUAGAUGGAUAUAAUUAUCCAUAGGAUAAUUUAUCUUUGCGAUUUAUUGAUAAUUUUUUUCAGAUGUAUGUCUGAUCGAUGGCCGACUUUCAUUUGCGUAAGCAUUCGUUGCUACUCUUGCACACAUUUUUUAUCAUAAAGAAAUUUUCGAACGUAUGUGUAUGCUGAAACGUCCUCGCAUUACGCUCCGAAUACAUCCGGGAUCAAUUUAAAUAUGCAUCGUAUGCUCAACUUAUGAAAGUUCGCCGUAUUCGCGGGUGCAAGAUGACGAUCUCGGUAAAGCGUGAAACGAAAAUCUUACCGCGGAUUCACCUGCAAAUUUUCGGUCUUCGAGCGCUAGAAGUAUCAACUUUCAGGCAUUACUCGCCGAUGCCUCAAUAAUGCUUCCCCGUUUCCGGAACUUUUCUCUUCUUGCGGCGUUCAUACGAUAAGAAAGCGCGAGCUACGUUCGUAUAUUCAAUUCAAAAACUUUUCACGCGUCGAAAUUCUGAACGUUUGCUUCGAAGACUCGAGACGUAUGGCACCGACUUCAGAGAAUAGUUUGCGUCUGGAAAUUUUACUUAACGUCGCAGAUUCGCAUUUUUCACGAUGACCAGUGUAUAAACAACUUUUGUAUGUUCUCACUUUACGAGUUUGUAUGUACAAGAGACACAAUAAUGAAAAGUAAGAGAUACAGACCAAAAUGGAAUUGAACGUUUUAUUUAUCUUAUAAGUCUAACAUGAUUAUUUAAGAUGUAUUUUUUGAAUUACUCGGCAUAAAAUUGCACUCAAUUCGUGGAUAAAGUGCCUGCAGUAUGUUUAUCUUACGCUCUCUUGUUCAUUUCAGUAUUCUAGUACGUACCUUUGGGACAACGUGUGCUUGUUUGUUCACACACAAGUAAAUAAAACUAUUAUUCUGAUGUAAUAUAAAACACGAGCUUUCUUACUAACAAGGGUAUUGCAUUUAAGAGAAACCUGAUAUUUUUUACUCUGCGUCUACAAAAUUAUACUGUUUAUUAUUUGUGAAGGUUCAGUUGGAGAAUUGUCUUCUCUUUCUCUGUCAAGUAUAAUAUAUGCGAUUAUAAAUGUUUUUUUUUUUUUAUUAUGUACUUUAUAAACAGUGGCUAUAAAUGAUUUUUUUUAUAUAUUUUAAAAUGUGCGUGUUAUAUACAUUUGUACACAUUACUUCAUGAAAUGAAUAUAAUCUUUUAGAAGAGUAAGGUCUUUCAUGUGAACCUUUCGUAGAAAAUUUUGAUUUAUUCCAUUUUGUACGUAAAUGUAUAACUUUUGACACUUUAUGCGUAGAAACGCGGGUAAAAUUUUUCUUGACUAUUUGAAAUAUACUCGUUCUGUUUUUAAACAAGUUUCUGUAUUGGAACUGUCGAAAGUCGUCAUUCUCUGGAUUGCUUUAGCCGAGAUAAGAAAUAUAAAAUAUAAUUUUUAUAUUUCAAAUUUCUUACACUCUUCUUACGGGUAGUAUGCAGCUUAAUUUCUAAAUUUCUUAUUUAUGGUAUAAAUUGAAUUUCCGUAUGUAUUCUAAACAUUUAUAUAAUACGAAUAUUUGAUCUAAAUAACAGAAAGUAGAGCUAUUAAAUUGAAAUGUUCUCUCUUAAAAAAUUAUGAUAUUUUAACUAUUCUCAGUUAUUUUAUCGAGAAUACAUGGAAGUCUGAUUGAUAUCACAGGAAUAAUAUCUGUAACAAUUUUAAUACGCUCGUCGUCGGAUCGUCGUCGAACCCAGAAAUUAAUUCUACCUUGUGUUAAUUCAAUAGUGGCAACUAAUCUUUAAUACAUUCCAUUGAAGCUACGAUUGUGGCUUAUAGCUGCUUAAUGUCUUGUUUUCUGAAUAAAAAGCUAUUAUAUAUGUGUGUACAUAGUUUUAUUAUUAUGCAGAAAAUUGUGUAAACUCCUAUAUAUCAUUUAAAAAAAAUAUACAAUGAACUUUUUUAUCCGAAAAAUUGAAGACCAUUAAUUGCCAUAGCAAUUGGGACUCGUAACACUGAGGAAAAAGGUAUAAAAUGUUACGUUUUCAUUCAUAACAUUUUACAUAUUUUUCUCAAUAUUAUGGGUCCCACGUUUCACCUAUACGUUAUUUAUGUAACUACUGCAAAUAUUUUUAUCUACUACCGCAAAUGUAUUUAACUCGCUAAAUGUCAUAACGAGAAAAGUUACUCUUCAGAAAGUUUAUUUCAACUAAUUACUUUACUAACGUACGUUAGAUAAUCUCUUUUCGGACAUGUUCCGCCCACUCGUGUUAGAUUGUAAUCUCGUUCAUUAUGUAAACGUACGUUACGGCGUGAAGGGAUUGAACAGAGUGGGUAAACGUGUAAGGUCAAUGAGAUUCUACCUUUUACCUCUGUCUCACUUUCUCGUUAUGUUACUAAACGAUGAAUCUAUCUCCGCGGCUAAGGGUACCGAAGGCAGCAAUUAAGCACUUGCCUUCGUCCAUCGUAGUUUUCCCUUGAGGACUAAUUAUUGUCUAAACGGACUAACUGUUUCCGUACACAUCGAACGUUGUUCUAUUGAACAAUAGAAUAUCCUUCGAACUUGAAUGCAGUUCGGAGGUAAACGAGAUCCUCCUACUGGAAGAUUGUUCUUGUCGUGGUAUGGAUAGAAUUCUAAAUUGUAAUUCAACUGCCAUCUCCUUCUUUAUUCGUUACUGCAUACGCAUGAAUGAUUGGCCUCGCAGAUAAACGUAUUUGUUAAAAAUAUAUCCAGUUAUUUUUUAACAAAUUUUUAUUUUUCACAAUGUUCCAUUCACAUUGAUACGGCAGUUAUUUUAUGCAACUAUUGUUUUCAAUAAUAGACAAAUACAUUACAAAUAGUUGUAUGCCUAUAAUCAAAAUGGUUUUGAAAAUUUUACAAUAACUUACAUAAAACAAUUUUAUUUUAUUUUUUUAGAAAUUAUUCAUAUAUUUUUGUUAAUUUUAUAAUGGAGAAUAUCAUGUUACGAUCUUCUGUUCCUCUCCGUUUAUAUUUUGUAUAAUAACUUUAUUAAUAAUCAUUAUUUUAACUUGAAGACGAUUAUAUUAGUCACUGAGUCGUUCAAUUGAUUCUAGAUUCAAAAUUAUAAAAUAUUUAUUAUUUGGGAUGCUAUUUAUAAAAAUGUGACGACACUAUAUAAUGGAUCGAAAAGAAACAGAAGUGGUAACUCUUUUCACGAAAAUAGAUUUAAAAGUUGAUUUUGUUUAACAAAAUAUUGUGUUCUGUUAUAAAAGUAUCUAUUUAUUUAAAGAAAAAGUAUUACAAAAUAUAUACGAAUAUAUAGGUACACGUAACUUAUUCUGUAUAUAGACUGUAGUAUUGAAAAUCUAUAAUACACAUAACGUAAACUAUAGAUUAGCAAUAACUACAAUAAUCUUAUCGAAUAAUUACUUUGAUAUGAAAAAAGAUCAUAUUAGACUUGUUGAGCAGCUUUAAGGAACUGUAUUAACAAAAUUCCAUUGCUAUUAUUUAACUUUGCAUAACUCGAAACAUGCACAGUCAAAUAAAAUAUUAAUAAAUGAACGAACACUUAUAUACAUAUAUAUUCGUGUGUACUACGCUCAAGUUUAAAAAGAAUGAGGAAGUGUGUGUAAUUAAAUGUUAAAAUGUAUUUUUUUUUAAUGUCGAAAUGUUUAAAGUAAAAAUAUCUUAUAAUAAACGUCGGCUUGUACUCGGCUUUACUACAUUAUCGUCAUUGCAUAAUGAGCUACUAAAUAAAUGAUUUCAUAACUAAUCAUUCUAUUCGUCCCCUAAUAAUGGACAUAUUACAUUACGCCGCCUUCUUUAUAUACGAUAUGUGGUUUGAAGCAUUGAAAUGAAUAAUAAGCAAAAUGGCAUGCUUUGGAUUAACAAAUAUAUUUACAAACUCCCCUAUGACAUUUUAUACGCAUUGUGGUUUCUGCAAUAGAUAAUCAACUGAUUUCUGUAGGGAAUUUAUAUGAGGGGUAAUGAAAAGCAGGAAAUUUUGUCACUCUUAAAUACCGGUAGCGACAUCAAAUAACGCACGUUAGAAAAAAUUAGGUCAAAGAUACGUAUUGGAAAAGUAAAGGUCAGAAGAGGAAAUCGAUGUUUAAAUUCAGUCUGAGAAAACUAUGCGCUGAUUCAGCGCUGCUUUAUUGUGACUUUACUGUCAUUAUGGCGUGGAUGUAAUGACUUAUAUUCAAACACGAGAUAUUCUUUUACGAGAGAAUUUUAUUCUUCAGAGAAAUAAAAAUAGUGUGCAGUGCAAUAAUUCCGGAAUUGUUUUUGCAAAUCGCGCGACAGUAGGGGUUAAGCGUCGUUAUAUAUCACGGCGUGACUUAAGUUGCGACGCUCGAUGCAACGAGCGCACAAUUAUGGUGAUUUCCUUCGUUGUAUUUCACGUGUAUUUCCUUCAAUCUGCAUCUGAUCGUCUCUCGAGAAUGCACAAUUUGGUUAAUGCGUUUGCCACACCCGCGACGGCACUCGUUUCUCAGAAAUCCGAAACUCGUAUUUCCAUAAUCGAUAAACAUGUUAAAUAGCGAUCUUUGAGCCACGCUUCUAUUUCGAUUAUGAAAAACUACGUUGUUAUGGUCGUGGAAAUCAAUUUAAUGACGUUCGCGAAAGAUAUGAACGUCAUGAUCGAUAGUUCCGUAAGUCAAAGCAUUAAGGAUGCAAAUGGCGGUUCUUAGAAACUUUCGUUUUAUAUUCCUCUUUCCACUUCCAUUUUCUUCAUCGUAAAGGACUGUUUUUACAUCAGUUUCACUUUUACUUUGGUCUAUUUGCUUUAAAGUUGGGAGAGAUUUAUUAAAGAAUUGUUUUUUUUUUAAAGAUUAUUUGCAUAUAUACGUACUAAAAUACUUAAUUUGCAAGUAACUUAAAAAUUUUUAAACAUCUCGAGUCGAAAUUUUAAUCCUAUUUUUUACUUUUUUUUUACCCUUAUUUUGAUGCUUUGGGCCCUUAAAUAGAUCUUUUUUGAUACCUUAAGCCUUAAACUCUCAAAUGGACCUUUUUGGAAUUGAUCGAAUCUAUUACGGUUUUUGUAGAGGGUUUAAAGAGGUUUUAAGAGGUCGAAAACCUCUUUUGAACUUCAAUGUGGGAAAUUUUCCGUUAAAUUUGCCAUUUUGAGGCUCACGGUGGAAGCUCAAUAGAUCUUUUGAUCAAAAUGAAACUAAAAUUUUGACUCGGAAUGUUAAAUGUAUAGUAUAAUAAAAUAUCUGUUUGCAGCUCUUUGUUACAAUCAUACUGCAAAACGUUCAAUGCAUUCCGAAAAGGAGUAUCGAAUAAACAGAAGCGCCGCGGGGUGCGUCAUACGGCCCACGCUGUAUUCCUCGAUUUAUGUGACAUUUCCACGGAAAUCAUAAAUUUACGUGCGUCAUAUAGAUCAUCAAAAAAAUGGAUCGCACCUGCGUUGGAGCAUUAUUACCGUUGCGGCGCGGUGGAAGUGCGAAAUUUAUAUUUCAGUCGCAUCGUGUGUGCGAGCGACUACGACGCGCGUUUUCUAUUCUCGACAAUGAAAAAGCAGCCUUCGCGUUUAUAACGCAGUAACAUUGUGAAACCGCGCGAUGACGCAUUCCAUAGGCCAUAUAAUGCCGAUAACUCGCGUACAUGUUACUACAAUAAUGAGCGUGUUCAUCUUAAUCGCGGUCGUACAAAGCGACGUUGUUCCAUUCAAAGAUUUGACGCAUCUUGGUAACUUAGAUAAAGUUUCAUCUCAUCAGCGUCGCAUUAAAAAUCAUCAUCUCGCGAAGAGCCAGCGAGCGCAAACGUUCGUAUCAAUUUUGUGUACAAAUUUUUAUUUCUUCCUGUCGUAGUCCUAGUGUAGAUGGAGGUGACGGCGCGAUAUGAAUGAUUCGUGGGGUAUCGUAGAUCAGUUAUCACGUUCAGACUGGAAAGGCUGAUGCCCGGCAACGCCCGCAACCAUUUCAAUUCUCAGACGGAUAUCUCGGUGGCGACGCGACGCGACGCGACGCGGCAUGGCGCGGCACCGCGCUUUUCAUUUCCCUCGAAAGAUUUAUGACGUGAAUCAGAUGCAUAAAUCUCAUCGCCCUGCGCAAAUUCGCCGUUUGUCCGAGGCCAGCCGCAUCUUUAGCAUUUUAAAUAGUGCGGCCGGGACAAUUUGACUGGCGGCGAACGAUAGCAAAUCGAUGAGUGCGUUGGCAGAAUUCGUUCAUUAUUCAAAACACGGGGGAGAGCUGUUGUUGGGUUACCAGUCUGUCUGGUCGGCUUCAAUGGAAUAUAUUAGCAUCGUGCAGAGCAAAAGUGGUUCCCUUCAGAACCACUCCACGCCACUCUGCGUAAACGUCGCGCGCUUGCCACAGACUCUUCUGUUUUUCUUUUCCGUUCUUUCAACCGCGUUCGCCAUGUACGAAUAUAUGCGUCCAAACUGUCAGGUAAAAAGCCCACGACGUAAAGGCUGCGGAACUUUCCACGUUUUCAUCACAUCGACUAGCACAUUCACUUCACAACUUUCUCUAUGAUACCUCAGUGCCUCAUUACUUUUCGGUAAAUAUUUAACCUUAUGCAUCAGGCUGAAUAGGGUGUCUAGAUAUUUAUCCCUGCAACGUAUACACUAAACGUUGCGCCAAGUAUUGUAGUGAAUAUGCUAAAAAGCGGGAUUUUACUUUUAGAAUUCUCUCUCUCUCUCUCUCUCUCUCAAAUCAACGUCGAGUCUUAAAUUAACACUCUUUAGUUUAUUAUACGAAAUAAUAUGUUUAAUUCGAUUUAAUAAUUUUGCACGUAAUAACAACGUGACGUAACACGCCCGUAAAAUAUAUAAGUAAAUGGAUAUAUAUAUAUAUAUAUAUAUAUAUAUAUAUAUUGCAUAUAUUAUGGAAGACUUUAUCUCUUCUUUUGAUUAAGAAUAUUAAAUUCUGUAUAAUGAAACUUGCUGUAUAACGCGUUAAACGAAAAAAGAUGAGCGAAACUUUCCUGAAGUAAAAUUAAAAAUGCUAUCCCAGAUUAGAAUCUUCACUUUUUGUACCACAUAGAGAGUUAAUUUUUUAUUUGACUCUUUUGACUUUUGCGUGAAUAACGAAAUGUUCUUGAGAAGGGAUCUGUCUUUUUUUUUCAUACUUGUUAACCGAUUUACUUUAUCUGUCGAACAGAUUGUACGUGACAAUUCAACCUAUAGGUUUUUAUGCAGUAUUGAAUCCUUUAAUCUUUCACUAAAUGAUUAAUCGAUAUCAGGGGUAGUCAUUACUACCCUUGGGGGUCAUUAACGAUAUGGAUGGUGCCACGAACGUUAACCGAUAUUGAAUAUGGCUUAAUCGAUGAGAGCGGAUGACUCGAUUAGUUGCUGACGCGUCGUUACAUCGAUGUUUGUGACGUCUUAUAUACAGAUAUACAGAUUAUGCCAUUUCGAAAAACAAAUUUACAUAUCUAGAAACGCACGAGUUUUCGGAACGGAUAGGAACAGUAAUCAAGCGAUUGUGAUUUUAAAUUUACUCGGGUAACGCAUUUUUUAAGUUCUUUGUUUCAAGUUGUUUUAUGCACGUGUAUACUAUAAUGACAAUAAAAAUGAAUUUCUCGUUGAUAUUCAAUUUUCGUGUAUGGUCGAAUUCUGCUUCGUAUAUUUAGAUUCGUAAAAAGUAUAAAAGGUAGUUAUCUCCAAAAUUCUAUUUGUGGUAUCAAAAUAGUGUUCGGAUUCCCACGUGUCGUAUAUAUAAAAGGUCAUACAUGCGUGCAAAUGCGUGUGUAUGAUGUAUCGUUCAUUCCGAUUAAACGGCAAAACCGAUUAUAGUGAUCUGUACAUAGAAAAAGUGUAUGACCCAGUUCGACGGUAUCUGAAAAACUGGAAUAUAUGUAACAACGUGAAAGAACUUGAAAAUUUGGAAAGUGUACCGUGUGAAUUUGACAGCCCUUUAAUUGUUUAAUCAGUAUAAAUGUAGGACGGAUUUUAGGAGUCUGGAGCGCCGAAGGACUACAAAAUAUGCUCUCUGAAGCGAAUUACUUAGUGGGAUGGGAUAGGUUAAUUGGGAAAGAGUUACUCAUAAAAUGGAAAUGGGUCAAAUAAUGACGACGACAGUUUUCUUUUUAAGAGUAGUUUUUCUUUUUGUGUCUUUAUUCGUCUUUGUUAGAAUUUUCUUUAACAGAAUUAAUUUCCGUUAAAUACAUUUAUACCUGAUGAAGAUUCUUUUUAAUUUUCUUUAUCUAUGUUAUAAAAUAAGAAGUUAAAAACUAUUAUUGCAAGAAACUGUAAUAUAUCUGAAAGCACAUUGCUAUUAGUUUGUCUGUUUUUACAUCAUAUAGAUAUGCGAAUUUUUUAAUUCUCUACCCGAUUGAAAAGGGUAACUCGUUUUAAUAUUUUUAAAAAGCCUUUGAUUUUUUUUUCAACAUUAAAUGAUUCCAAAAUUUCAAUUUGCAAAUUUCAAUUUAUGCAAAAUUAUCCUUGAGCAAAUAUUUAAUUAUAUAAAAUUACAAGAAUAUAUACAUUAAAAUAAUUUAAAUUUAGCGCACGUAUAGUUUUAAAAAUUUUAUUUAUUUAUAAAAUAAAAAUCGAUUUAACGUUUCUGUUAAGAGUUAUCACUUGUAUGGUAAACAGAGUGAUUAUCAUAUUGUAGCUUGAAUCAGUCCUAUCUCUCGUGCAAUUGUGUAUUCAAAAUAUACGCGCCUCCGAUAAACCGCAGCCGAAGGUAAAUUAUUCGGCAGAAAUUUCAACCAACUUGGUGGUACACGGCCGUUCUCCAUUCUAAUUAAGAUAUUCAGGGCAAACGGAAUUCUAGAAGUUUAAGCAAAACGCAAGAAUACAUCAGAAUUUCCUUAUGCAUAAUCAGUCGUAAGUAAGGUAUGAUGAUUGUCCUUGCAGAGAGAUGCCCGUCGCGAUAGUUUGAAGGUGCAAUACUCCGGCGGGUCACAAUGCAAUUAAACUGCGCGCAACACAGGUGUGCUAUCGCGUGCAUAUUUCAGAGACGAUGUAUAUGCUCGCCUCCCCGGGCACGGCAAAGUGCGUGCGGUGCGUGUAUAAUUCGCGCUGUUGAAAUCCAACGUCGGGUGUGUAAAUCGAUCGAUAACACCAAAUGCAUGUUAUUCUCGUUAAUUGCCUAAAUCGAUAGGGCCGUAGCGAAGAUUUCCAUCGUACCAUCUAUGGUUACGUUCAUACCCAGCGCAUCGACGCAGACCGUUAAUGUCGAAAUUGACAGAAAAUCGUUAACGACGUACGUACCUACGUACGUACGUACGUACGUACGUACGUAUGUACGUAUGGCGCAUUUGCAAUGGGUUGCCGCGCUCAAUGACGAACCUCGCGCUUCUCGAAAUUAAUAAAGUUCGACAUUGAGUUCGUUGUUAGGUAUUAAUUCAGAUACGACGAGCUGUGUUGCAUUUCGCUGGCGCGUGAUGCCGGAUUUUGGAACAACAGUCUGACGUAGAAUAGUUGGAAUAAGACGAGCAACACGCAGCGCAGCUCUUGCGAUUGAUUAGAUCAUCCAUCUAACAAUGUACGAUUGCGAGCCAGAUUAUUUAAAAACGGGAUGGGAUAGAUUGCGAGUAUUUGCCUUUGUAGUGAAAAAAGACAUAUCGUGUCUCGCAAUUAUGUUAUGUUUUAUUUUUUAUGUUUUAAUUUGUUAAAGAAAUUUCGAAAUUAAUAGAAUCAAGGUAGUAAAGAAUUGGAAAUGACAUUCCUUUUAGAAACCUUGUAGAUAUUCGAUGCACACUUGACAAAUUCUAAAGUAGCGAUUUUCCAUUUUCUGAAGUUAACGCACGAACUAAAUUUAUUUCCAAGAUGAGAUAAUUCUACAACUACGGAUUCCAGUGCUGGAUAAGUUUAAGAAACAUUUAUCACUAAAAUUUCUAUCGUUAGAAGUGUCACAUCCUUGCGGUAAUUAUCUCAAAAGAAAUAAAUCUCUUGAAUAGAGAUUGAAAAGGAAGAGAGAGAAAGAAAAGUUUUCCUAAGUUUUUUACAAUUUUAAAUUAAAAAAAGAAUUUUCUUAUAUUUGUUGUUAUACAAUGUAAAAUAUUCGCUUGAGAAUAUCGCUUGAGCAAUAACGUUUAAUGCUUCGCUUUCCGAAUCGUCACUCCCUUUUCUUCCAUCAACAAUUUCGUUUGCACCUGCUUGGUAUUCUCUUCACACUUAUUUACCUUUGUUGAUUUUCGCACGUGAACAAGUUAGGGAGUCACAGUCAAAUCACAAUGUUGACAUUUUCGGUCAGUGCUCCAGUUUAUUUAACUAGUUUUACCGUUACGCUUACCGAAUCUUCCGCUUGCAGUAAUUGUUCAUUCUCUAGAGUUGUAUGUGCUUUAACAAUUUUGCGCAAAGAAGUCAUCUUUUAUUCACAGAAAACAAUGUGAAUUUAAUAGUUGCAAAAUUACGACUAUAUAUUUCGUAAUAUAUCGGAAUCUUCCACCAGUUCUCUAUUAGAUUUUUGUUCUGCUUUUGUAUACAAUCCCAUAAAUACUUUUGGAAAGAAAUUAUAUAAUUGGUUAAUACAUUGGUUAAUAAAAUGGUAGAUUUAAUUCAUACUUUCUGAUUACAAGAUAAACUGAUAAAUCAUAAAAUGAAACAUUUCGGCUUACGAGUUUCUAACUGGGGCAAUAUUGCGCUUGUUAUUUUUUUAUAUUAUAUGCGGCAGUAAAUCCUAUAUUUUUAUUUUUAUUUUUUAUAAGUUUCAAGUUAUUCCGACUUUACUUACAAUACACGUGAGUUUAAAACGUUUGUUAUUUUUGUAAAAAGUUUUUUUUUUUACGUAGAUUGUAUAAAUCGUCGAGUGCAAGUUAUGUCGAGAAUGUAUAACUGAAACGUUAAUCCGAAACCGAUUUAUUACGCUCUAACGGAGCAUUAAUGUUACCAAGAUCGUCGUGACAGGUAGGCGCGAGGCGCAACAUCGACGAAUUAUGCACAAAGCCAUCCGGUCUCGGAAAUUUGCGCGAUUAUUGGAGGGUUUAUGCAGCCGUCAUCUUAUCUGCACUGCAUGCUGGCAUAUGUAUUCAUGGACAGAACACGCGUUAGUUAAGAUACGCAGGCUGCCUGCAAAUGGUUAGUGAAAUCGUACAUAUCGCAAUAUGUUACGGCGUCGCAUUCGCUCAUUACGGUACGCAUAAUGAAGCCGAAAAUUUGAUGCAAAUCGUCAUUAAGUUGCUUGUUAUUUUAAAAUAAUAAAUGCAAUUCAAUUUUACAUAUUGUGUAAAUCACAUAUAUGUGAUAUUUUACAUGAGGCAUUUGAUUUUUUACGGAAUAAAAGUUGUUACAAAAGUUCUAUCGCAAUUUCUAAAAAGUGGGUUUCAAGAAACGCAAUAUUCUGCACUUAUAAAAAGUUUAUUCAAUUUUAUCACUCAAAACAUUUUGCAUAUCGUUUUAUACAGAAGAUACGAGACAAGAUACAAUCUCGUAUAAAUGUGUGUGUAUGUGUGUGUGUGUGUGUGUGUGUGUGUAUAUAUAUCCUUUUGCAUAUCCUCCGUAGGGUAAAUUUGGCACCAGGAAGUUCACGUAAUCAUUUCAAGGGCAUGAUCCCUAAUUAAAAGCCUUGGUGACGACAUUCGCGCUAUCACGGCGGAAAUUAUGUCUCUGAUAAAUUUUAUCCGUCCGAAACUUUAGGGGCACACAAAUUUCGCGUACCUGGGUAUCAAAUUCCGGAGUUAAAAUUGUACAGCUUUUAGUUACACUGUUGAAACUUAUCAGAGUUUCUCGACCGCAGUCAUCUGACUGCUGCUGGACAGACUAAACUUUAUGUAUAAAAUAUGUUUCAAAUACAUUAUACGUAUACGUGUAUGUAUGGUUUCUUCACAUAGAUCUAAACUAAUGAUAGUACAAUUCUGUUUUAUCAGCACCUUAUUACGAUAAAACAAUUUCUAUAAUCUAUAUUUAUAAUCUAUUAUAUUAUAACUUAGCAUUGCGAGGAAUAGUUGAUAUAUCAGGUUUUAAAAAUAUCUAAAUUUUUUUAGUACAGUAAUUGCUAUAAUUGUAUUUAUUCAUAUAACAAAAUGUGCAAGUACUUAAGAAAUUUUCUUACUUAUGGAAUCCUUUCUUAUUUAAUUUCGUAUUUUAAUAAAACGAUUUUAAAUUAUUUGUAAUAAGAAAUUUGAGUUCAACGAUUUCAAAUUUCUUGUUAGCGAUAAAAUUAAUACUUAUUCUUGAAAAGUAAUUUCCGAAAAUAUGAUCCCGAAAAAUAUAUAGUUUAAUUUGUUUGCAUAUGGUUAAUUAAUGAAACGAGAUUAGAACGGUUUCGAUGGAAGGUGCCUCCUACGCUUGAUUUAGUAAUGUUCGGUGCAGAUUGAUGGCGACUAGCUCCUACGUUUUGCAGCAUUUGUCGCCGUCGGUUCGAGAAUGGGCAGCUACCCCUUUACUUUCGUUUCGAUGCAUGCUUGAGUGCCUGAUUUCUCUUCCGUGAUAACAAAACCGUUCUCACGAUGAAGCAUCGAGAAUCUAUGAUACAGAGUUUCAUAGGUCGCAUUCGGACAUUCUGCCGGAGAGAACAAAUAGUGAUUGUAUAUGUACAUAUAUCAACAUGUGCGGUAAUAUAAUUACAACACACUAUAAUUGCCUAUAUUUUAAAAUUGAAAAUUGAGAAAUUAAUAAUGUCAGUUAAAAAUAAUGGUAUUAAAAGCAAUUAUAUGGAAGUUAUUCCAUCUCAAUCUUUCAAUUAUGCGUUAGUUAUCCUUUUCCUUAAUAAAAAGUAAUCAAGAUUCUGCAAGUUAGCUUUUUCACAGUAAAAUCGAAAGAUGUAAGGAACCUUCUCUUGCUUUUAAAAUUAUUGAACGUUUAUGAUAGGUGCCGGCUAAUGGAUUUCGCAAUUUUGAAAGUCAAAAAGUACCAUCAUUCUUGAACUAUCCACACGACGUGUCUUGGACUUGUAUCUAGGACGGUUAAUGUUAACUGACAAUUUUGCAAAGUUAGUGUACUUUGGACGGUACGAGUUGCCUAGUCAAAAACUUCAAAGACGAUCUCCUGAGGUAUAUCAAAGGAGAUAGUACUCGCGUUUCCACUUUCGCGUGACAUGGUUUUGGCACUUUGACACGUGGAAAAUUGAUAAAAUUGCCCGAAACGUGAGGCGAGGCUCGAUUCGUACGUGCCAGAAAUCGGGAAACUACUAUCGAGAAUUACAGUCGCGCAUUCGAAGAAACUAUAACAGGAAAGAGAGGAUAAUAAAUGUUUUAAUAUCAAAGAUGUUAUCAAUCAUGGAGUUAUCUAUUUAGGUUAAUGAAUUAUGUCGAGAGUACGGAAAUGGAACGAAUAACGAUCUGUCAUUUUUCUGUUAAAUUUUAAUUAGACGGAAAAUGAUUUGGGAGAUUAGUAAGGAUUUAAUAUUACGUUUUCAACAUAGAGUAAGGAAAGAAUUUAGUUUUCGUUAACUACCUUCUUAAACUUAUUUAAAUUAUUAUAUUUCGGGAAUAUAAGAAUAUGAGUAAGAGUUUUUUUAUGUAUCCCGAGAAGUUUUAAUUUCCGGGUUCUUCCGGUCUAGGAUUAUCAACAAACGGCAGGAAGUACUUUGCAUUUAUUUCCAUAAUUGAAGUUGCACACCUCCAUCUUGCAAGUGCAAUUAAAUAAAUCACUAUUAGGCUAUUGUCUUAGGAAGCAGCGUGCAACCAGCACCGACGCGAAACAUGGGAAAGGUGCAGGAGGCGGCUGUGGAGAGUCGCGGGAUAGGGUGAAAGGUGUGUUAGUAUUGCGGGACUUAGGUGCUAGCUAUAGCCCAGUAUGUAUGUAGUCUUUAUAAUCCCUCGGCUUAUAGAGAAAGAGGGAAGCAGAGAAGGAUACCGCGACGCUGUCGCCUGUAACGGACGUGAAAGGGACGUACUUGAGUAUUUUGUCGCGCUAUAUCGCUUCUGGCUACGACACGCGGCACACCGAUACGUAAACCACGAAAUUGCUCGGAUUGCGGGGCGAUCUGGUCGUGGGGUCUGGAAGGCUUCGAUUUUCUUCGCCUUCCCGUGGCCUCAGAUUCUAUCUAUCAACUCGAAAAGACGCUC
Solenopsis invicta (red fire ant) is the source of this 14240-nucleotide long non-coding RNA. RefSeq lists it as uncharacterized. The transcript is spliced from 2 exons. NCBI's taxonomy places the organism in Eukaryota, Metazoa, Arthropoda, Insecta, Hymenoptera, Formicidae. The record is from RefSeq and is a predicted model, not a curated record.